GAUGAAGAACGCAGCGAAAUGCGAUAAGUAAUGUGAAUUGCAGAAUUCCGUGAAUCAUCGAAUCUUUGAACGCACAUUGCGCCCCCUGGCAUUCCGGGGGGCAUGCCUGUCCGAGCGUCAUUUCUGCCCUCCAGCCCGGCUGGGUGUUGGGCGCUGUCCCCCCGGGGACACGCCCCAAAGGCAGUGGCGGCGCCGCGUCGGGUCCUCGAGCGUAUGGGGCUUUGUCACCCGCUCGGGACGGACUCGUCGGCGCUGGUCUUCCUCCAGGCGACCCUUCGGGGCUCGUCUUCCUUCGGUUGACCUCGGAUCAGGUAGGGUUACCCGCUGAAUUUAAGCAUAUCAAUAAGCGGAGGA
This 354-nucleotide unclassified non-coding RNA is filed under the name soil metagenome. RNAcentral describes it as "partial contains 5.8S ribosomal RNA, internal transcribed spacer 2, and large subunit ribosomal RNA". The stretch from base 1 to 120 matches the Rfam family "5.8S ribosomal RNA", at positions 35 to 154 of the family's 154-position model. The record is from RNAcentral.